RNAcentral lists this ribosomal RNA (1371 nucleotides) under uncultured bacterium. RNAcentral's name for it is "bacterial SSU rRNA". It matches the Rfam family "Bacterial small subunit ribosomal RNA", at positions 28 to 1380 of the family's 1533-position model. The record is from RNAcentral.
GGAGAACGCCCGCCACAGGCCUAACACAUGCAAGUCCGAGGGGCAGCAUGGUCCUAGCUUCGCUAAGGCCGAAUGGCGACCGGCGCACGGGUCGAGUAACACGUAUCCAACCUGCCGUCUACUCUUGGACAGCCUUCUGAAAGGAAGAUUAAUACAAGAUGGCAUCAUGAGUCCGCAUGUUCACAUGAUUAAAGGUAUUCCGGUAGACGAUGGGGAUGCGUUUCCAUUAGAUAGUAGGCGGGGUAACGGCCCACCUAGUCUUCGAUGGAUAGGGGUUUCUGAGAGGAAGGUCCCCCACAUUGGAACUGAGACACGGUCCAAACUCCUACGGGAGGCAGCAGUGAGGAAUAUUGGUCAAUGGGCGAGAGCCUGAACCAGCCAAGUAGCGUGAAGGAUGACUGCCCUAUGGGUUUGUAAACUUCUUUUAUAAAGGAAUAAAGUCGGGUAUGGAUACCCGUUUGCAUGUACUUUAUGAAUAAGGAUUCGGCUAACUCCGUGCCAGCAGCCGCGGUAAUACGGAGGAUUCCGAGCGUUAUCCGGAUUUAUUGGGUUUAAAGGGAGCGUAGAUGGAUGUUUAAGUCAGUUGUGAAAGUUUGCGGCUCAACCGUAAAAUUGCAGUUGAUACUGGAUAUCUUGAGUGCAGUUGAGGCAGGCGGAAUUCGUGGUGUAGCGGUGAAAUGCUUAGAUAUCACGAAGAACUCCGAUUGCGAAGGCAGCCUGCUAAGCUGCAACUGACAUUGAGGCUCGAAAGUGUGGGUAUCAAACAGGAUUAGAUACCCUGGUAGUCCACACGGUAAACGAUGAAUACUCGCUGUUUGCGAUAUACUGCAAGCGGCCAAGCGAAAGCGUUAAGUAUUCCACCUGGGGAGUACGCCGGCAACGGUGAAACUCAAAGGAAUUGACGGGGGCCCGCACAAGCGGAGGAACAUGUGGUUUAAUUCGAUGAUACGCGAGGAACCUUACCCGGGCUUAAAUUGCAGAUGAAUUACGGUGAAAGCCGUAAGCCGCAAGGCAUCUGUGAAGGUGCUGCAUGGUUGUCGUCAGCUCGUGCCGUGAGGUGUCGGCUUAAGUGCCAUAACGAGCGCAACCCUUGUUGUCAGUUACUAACAGGUUCCGCUGAGGACUCUGACAAGGCUGCCAUCGUAAGAUGUGAGGAAGGUGGGGAUGACGUCAAAUCAGCACGGCCCUUACGUCCGGGGCUACACACGUGUUACAAUGGGGGGUACAGAGGGCCGCUACCACGCGAGUGGAUGCCGAUCCCCAAAAACCUCUCUCAGUUCGGACUGGAGUCUGCGAACCCGACUCCACGAAAGCUGGAUUCGCUAGUAAUCGCGCUUCAGCCACGGCGCGGUGAAAUACGUUUCCCGGGCC